Molecule: long non-coding RNA, 88 nt
Organism: Sinocyclocheilus anshuiensis
Lineage: Eukaryota; Metazoa; Chordata; Actinopteri; Cypriniformes; Cyprinidae
Exons: 3
Source: RefSeq, a predicted model, not a curated record
UUGGCAACACUGUUUACUUUAGUCAUCGUGAAACUUGCAAACUAGCACAUUAUUAGGAAAGGCGAUUUACAAAGAUUCAUAAAAAAAA